AGUGAACGCUGGCGGUAGGCCUAACACAUGCAAGUCGAACGGCAGCACAGUAAGAGCUUGCUCUUACGGGUGGCGAGUGGCGGACGGGUGAGGAAUACAUCGGAAUCUACUUUUUCGUGGGGGAUAACGUAGGGAAACUUACGCUAAUACCGCAUACGACCUACGGGUGAAAGCAGGGGAUCUUCGGACCUUGCGCGAUUGAAUGAGCCGAUGUCGGAUUAGCUAGUUGGCGGGGUAAAGGCCCACCAAGGCGACGAUCCGUAGCUGGUCUGAGAGGAUGGGCAGCCACACUGGAACUGAGACACGGUCCAGACUCCUACGGGAGGCAGCAGUGGGGAAUAUUGGACAAGGGGCGCAAGCCUGAUCCAGCCAUACUGCGUGGGUGAAGAAGGCCUUCGGGUGGUAAAGCCCUUUUGUUGGGAAAGAAAAGCAGCAGGUUAAUACCCCGCUGUUCUGACGGUACCCAAAGAAUAAGCACCGGCUAACUUCGUG
Molecule: ribosomal RNA, 492 nt
Filed under: uncultured bacterium
Lineage: Bacteria
Description: partial 16S ribosomal RNA
Rfam family: Bacterial small subunit ribosomal RNA
Source: RNAcentral